AAGCAAAGCGUCACAUCCCAAAACUUAUUGAGUCAUCGGAAAGGGAAGUGAUGUCGGAAUCAAGCCGGUGGACUAUGCCGGAGAUGGCCGGAAUCCUGUCAAAUAAGAUCCCUCAAGAUGAACUCAAGCCUGGAGAUCAUAUCUAUUCAUGGAGAAACGCCUAUCUCUAUGCUCAUCACGGUAUAUAUGUUGGCGAUGGUAUGGUUAUCCAUUUUACUCGAGCUGCAGGUCAAGAGAUUGGAACUGGAACUGUUUUAGACCGUUUCAUAUUCAGCUCAUCUCCUUCACAUCCCUCUGGCUCCCCAUGUCCUAGAUGUGGUGAUCAAUCAAGGACUGAAGGUGUUAUCUCAUCAUGCCUCGAGUGUUUUCUUUGUGGGGGUGAGCUGUAUCUUUUUAAGUAUGGUGUCUCACCAGGGGUUUUUAUUGCUAAAACUCGAGGAGGAACAUGCACAAUUGCCCCUUCUGAUCCACCAGAGCAUGUCCUGCACCGUGCUAAAUUUCUCCUUCAGAAUGGUUUUGGGG
This 522-nucleotide unclassified non-coding RNA is filed under the name Hevea brasiliensis (rubber tree). The record is from RNAcentral. Lineage: Eukaryota; Viridiplantae; Streptophyta; Magnoliopsida; Malpighiales; Euphorbiaceae.